AUCUUUCUUAGGUGAACAGAAAUGGUCACGAACUCCCCAUAGUCCAGAUGCCCAUCCCGGUCUAAGUCACCAGCUUCCAUUAGCAUUUGAAGAUCAGUAUCGGUGAUCUGAUGACCUAGUUUCUGCAACCCAAUUCUUAGCUCAUCAAUAUUAAUUUUUCCCUUAUUGCUAGUAUCCAUCAGUUGGAAGCCCUCCUUUAUGCCAGCAACUUCCUCGACUGACAAAUGCUCAGCUACUACCCUAAGUGCUCUUUUCUUGAGUUUGUUCAUUGCAGAGAAUUGCUUAAGCCUUGCUUUCACCGUUUCACCUAAGGAAACAUUAGGCGCCUUCUUUGCAUUCUGCAACCAAGAAUGAUCUAGCACUUGUUGUGCUGUAAGCC
This 379-nucleotide unclassified non-coding RNA is filed under the name Hevea brasiliensis (rubber tree). Lineage: Eukaryota; Viridiplantae; Streptophyta; Magnoliopsida; Malpighiales; Euphorbiaceae. The record is from RNAcentral.